AUUGAACGCUGGCGGCAGGCCUAACACAUGCAAGUCGAACGAGACCUUCGGGUCUAGUGGCGCACGGGUGCGUAACGCGUGGGAACCUGCCUUUAGGUUCGGAAUAACUCAGAGAAAUUUGAGCUAAUACCGGAUAAUGUCUUCGGACCAAAGAUUUAUCGCCUUUAGAUGGGCCCGCGUUGGAUUAGCUAGUUGGUGGGGUAAAGGCCUACCAAGGCGACGAUCCAUAGCUGGUCUGAGAGGAUGAUCAGCCACACUGGGACUGAGACACGGCCCAGACUCCUACGGGAGACAGCAGUGGGGAAUAUUGGACAAUGGGCGCAAGCCUGAUCCAGCCAUGCCGCGUGUGUGAAGAAGGCCU
RNAcentral lists this ribosomal RNA (361 nucleotides) under uncultured bacterium. RNAcentral's name for it is "bacterial SSU rRNA". It matches the Rfam family "Bacterial small subunit ribosomal RNA", at positions 30 to 417 of the family's 1533-position model. The record is from RNAcentral.